GCAUAUCAAUAAGCGGAGGAAAAGAAACCAACAGGGAUUGCCUUAGUAACGGCGAGUGAAGCGGCAAGAGCUCAAAUUUGAAAUCUGGCCUCUUUGGGGUCCGAGUUGUAAUUUGUAGAGGAUGUUUCGGGUACCGCCUCGGUUUAAAUUUCUUGGAACAGAAUGUCAAAGAGGGUGAGAAUCCCGUCUUGGACCGGUGGUAGGGCCCGUGUGAAACUCCUUCGACGAGUCGAGUUGUUUGGGAAUGCAGCUCAAAAUGGGUGGUAAAUUUCAUCUAAAGCUAAAUAUUGGCCAGAGACCGAUAGCGCACAAGUAGAGUGAUCGAAAGAUGAAAAGCACUUUGAAAAGAGAGUUAAACAGUAUGUGAAAUUGUUGAAAGGGAAGCGCUUGCAACCAGACUUGUGCGCGGUGGUUCCCCUAUCCUUUUGGAUGGGUUACUCCGCCGCGUCCAGGCCAACAUCGGUUCUGGGGGUCGGUCAAAGGCCUUGGGAAUGUAUCUACCCUCCGGGCGUAGACUUAUAGCCCUUGGUGUCAUGCGACCUCCCGGGACCGAGGAACGCGCUUCGGCUCGGAUGUUGGCGUAAUGGUUGUCAGCGACCCGUCUUGAAACACGGACCAAGGAGUCUAACAUCUAUGCGAGUGUUUGGGUGUCAAACCCGGAACGCGGAAUGAAAGUGAACGGAGGUAGGAAGCUUCGGCUGCACUAUCGACCGAUCCUGAUGUCUUCGGAUGGAUUUGAGUAAGAGCAUAGCUGUUGGGACCCGAAAGAUGGUGAACUAUGCCUGAAUAGGGUGAAGCCAGAGGAAACUCUGGUGGAGGCUCGCAGCGGUUCUGACGUGCAAAUCGAUCGUCAAAUUUGGGUAUAGGGGCGAAAGACUAAUCGAACCAUCUGGUAGCUGGUUCCUGCCGAA
Molecule: ribosomal RNA, 911 nt
Filed under: Rhinocladiella anceps
Lineage: Eukaryota; Fungi; Ascomycota; Eurotiomycetes; Chaetothyriales; Herpotrichiellaceae
Description: LSU rRNA
Rfam family: Eukaryotic large subunit ribosomal RNA
Source: RNAcentral